RNAcentral lists this transfer-messenger RNA (366 nucleotides) under Candidatus Uhrbacteria bacterium RIFCSPHIGHO2_02_FULL_60_44. It matches the Rfam family "transfer-messenger RNA". Rfam says of the family: Bacterial tmRNA, also known as 10Sa RNA or SsrA, is named for its dual tRNA and mRNA-like properties. Its role is to liberate the mRNA from a stalled ribosome. To accomplish this part of the tmRNA is used as a reading frame that ends in a translation stop signal. The record is from RNAcentral. RNAcentral also lists the same sequence under 1 other name. Lineage: Bacteria; Candidatus Uhriibacteriota.
GGGGACGACAGGUUUCGACAGGGAGAGCGACGAUCGGGUUGCGUACCGUGGAGCCUCCGGCCACGUAAAAAGAGGCGCCACCACCUGCGGCUUAGUACAGGUUUUCCCGGUGCACACCGGGACGUCCACGACGCGUGUGCCUGAAGGCGCGCGUGAGACGUAAAGCUUUGGGCUGGUCCGGGGAGUGUCGCGGUUCCCCUGGACGAGAAACGUCGCGAUAGGAUGACAUGGGCCGAUAGACCAUGCCGGAGCAGGAACCGUAAGCCCUGACCAGUCGUCGCUGACCGGAACCAAACAGCGACUACGUACGUAGAGACCCCUUCCGAACCUUUCUGGACCUGGGUUCGAUUCCCAGCGUCUCCACCA